RNAcentral lists this long non-coding RNA (3040 nucleotides) under Nicotiana benthamiana. RNAcentral's name for it is "long non-coding RNA (NBEN_LNC041408)". The record is from RNAcentral. Lineage: Eukaryota; Viridiplantae; Streptophyta; Magnoliopsida; Solanales; Solanaceae.
UUGUUUCUGCAUGCAAUAUUAGACCGUGUUUUAACUGAGGGCAUUGCGAGGACAUUGUGAGUAUGUUUCCUGAUACAUGCAGUGCUCGACUGCUCGUUGCACUAUAGAUUUAUUUUAUGCUGCACUACUCCGUGCACUGUUUACGUGAUCCGUUGAAUCAGUUACAUUUUUUCAUUACUUUAUUUAAUCAGUUAUAUUCUUCAGACAUCUUUAAUACUUGUCUUUAUAUCUGUCACUUGCUGUGUUUAAGACCUGUUCACUUAGCUAUUUGAAAUUAGUUCAGUUUAAUUCUUCUCUAUAUCAAGCAUUGUGUGGGUGAUAUGUUUAUUAUAGGUGUGUGCAUCUUUGUACUAAAAUUUUGUUAAGAAUGAGAUAAUUACUUGGUUAUGUAAGAUGUUUAGUUGAUUGGUAGAUUUUUCUCAUUCUUUUUGCAAUGUGUGCCAAGUGUGGAUGUUGGUUGGAAACUUAAUAUAGUAUGGUGAGGAGUGAAACAAGGCAUCUGUGGCAGCUAAGUUUUGCUUAAUGGGAGAUGACCUUAUCUGUCUAUCAUGGAACCAUAUUUAGACUUUUAUCAAAGAAGCAAAAAAUGAAACCAUGUUUUAGAGUAAUCUAUUAAGAGUAAAGAACCUAUGUGAGUGAAAUUUCUUUAUUGACAUAGGUGGUUACUAUGCAUAGUAAAAUGAUGUAGAAGAUUAUUGUUUAUCUGAUCUAAAUGCCACUGAAAAUUUGCUCUCAAUUAAGUCUAGUCUAUCAACAUUACCCUAAAGAACAGAAAUGGUCUAAUUGCUUCCACAGUUCCUGGAGUAGGUACUGUCUAGAAGAUUGUGGGUACCUGUUUCAUUUGUCAUCUUUAGGCUGUCCAACAUUUCCUCUAUUACAGGCAUCAAACCAUCAAUUAUUUAUUUAUUUUUUGGCACCCAAGAGUGCUACCUAGUGGUCAAUGAGGUGGAUUGAGAGCCAUGAGGUCUCAGAUUCAAAUUCCAGCAGAGACAAAUAUACUACUAUGUGAUUUCUUCCCAUCUUUCCAAGUCUUGGUGGAUAGAGUUACUUUGUGUUUGUUGUGGAUGGGAGAUAGCAGGUAUCCCGUGGAAUUAGUCGAGUUGCACAUAAGUUGUCCCGGACACCACGGUUAUAACCAUUCAGUCUUUUAACUUGGUCUAUCAUAGCAUAACUAUAAUUGCUGGUUCAAAGAUUAAUGUAUCUAUCAUAAAAAUUUGCUCCAUAUUGUUUAUUCUAGUGGCUGUGGAAAGCUCUAUAAAUUGCUCAUGAAUUUUAGAUUUGUCUCAUGUAAUCGUUUUGUUUGAAGCUCUAGUAAAAAAACUUGGUUAUACACUUAUGUGCUCCACACAGUUCCUUUCUCUUCUUUCUCAUAAGAUGCUUUAUUGGUGGGUAUUCCAGAAGUCUAGGAGUUAUGCUAUUUGAGUAGGCAAUAAACCAAUUUCUACAGCAUCAUUAUCUUAGUUCAAACAGGCAAUGGAGUUUAGUCAACAAUCUGUAGGAUAAAGAGGAGAUCUAUUAGUCUUAGUCUUGUAUUUUCUUAUUUUUAGAUUUCUAUUACUACAUGUUGUUUCUUUCGUUUCUGCUUUCCUGCAAUCUUUUGAGGAACUGUAUAUACCCUUUGAUACGAUAGCUCAAAGUUGUCCCUUGGAACGAGGAUAGCCUGCUGCUAUAGUUUGGGAAGGAGUAGUUUGGCAUUUAAAAUAUUUACACAUGAAAGUGUAAACUCCAGCCAAUAAUUUUCUAGUAGAAGCAUCACAGGAAAAUUUUGACCUCAGAUGUGCAUAUUCAAAGUUAGUGAUGGGGUUGACCUUGGCAGCAAGAUUAUUUUUUUCUGAAAAGGAACUUCAUUCCAAAUGAACUUGCGAGAAGUACCAAAUAAUCAUUUGAAGAACUUGUUAAGCAUGGGCAUCGCUUGACCAACUACUGAUCUAUACUUAUCAAGGGUGUUAGAAAUCAGCUUAUGCAGGAACACAGACUUGGAUGAUUUAGGUUUAGAAGCUUCUGCUCGGACACUGAUUAGGAUUGUGUGGGGUUGGGGGGAGUAGCAUAGCAUGGGAUAAUUCAUUCAUGUGCUAUUUGCUUUUCUCCUCUUCUUUUAAUGUUUUGAAACUACAGAGAAACAAGGCUAGAGUUUUAUGAGUAGAACAAAGCAACAUAUGUAUUGCAAGUUUAGCAUCCAUCAAAAGAAUGAAUGUGAUCACAUAUUUAGGUUCAGGCUUUAGGACAUAAAGAUUGCAAAACGAUGGUUGAAGUGGAUGUUAUAGCAACAUUAUGUGAUUUAAAGAUACCUAAAUGUACAAGUUAAGAUAGAUUAUUGGUCGUAUAAGAUUGGACAAAACUAGAAAUGAUAUAAAUGGACAACACACUUUGGUGGAUAAAAUAGGAGAAGGGACCCUGUUCUUUUAAUGUUUUGAAACUAGAGAGAAACAAGGCUAGAGUUUUAGGAGUAGAAGAAAGCAACAUAUGUUUUGCACUUUUAGCAUCCAUCAAAAGAAUGAAUGUGAUCAGAUAUUUAGGUUCAGGCUUUAGGAGAAUGGCAUGAUACAUAAAGACAGAACAUAUAUGAUUGAAAAAGGAUGGUUGAAGUGGAUGUUAUGGCAACAUUAUGUGAUUUAAAGAUACCUAACAAAGAGAGGAAGCAUGUCUAUUUUAGAGUAGUGUCAGAGAAAUGUACAAGUUAAGAUUAGAUUAUUGGUUGUAUGAGAUUGGACAAAACUAGAAUUGAUAAUUAGACAACACACUUUGGAGGAUAAAAUUGGAGAAGGGACUAUAAUCUCAACAGUCUAUGUGGACUCGGCUGAAAAAAAGAAUCCAUAUGGCUGAAAUCUAGGCUGAGUUGUUUUUAUGUUUACAUGGUCUGCAUGGGACUAAGUGUUGAGACUUGGAGAUCUUCUGUUUUUUUUAAUCUUCUUCUAGAUUUGGACAAAUCUUAAGUUGCAGCAAAAGACAAAAAUACUUACCAGUCCAAAUAGAACAGAAAAAUAUAGUAUUCGUAUAUUGCUUCCAAUUAAUCUGAGAUUGAUGUGUAGGUUCUUUGAUU